GGGGGCGGCUGGGAAGUGGCUGGCGCCGACCUCCGCCUCCGUGGGGCACCGCCCGGGCCCGAGUGCGUAGUCGAGGUCCUGGGUAGCUGCGGGGUGCGGGAGCGGGCGCUGUGCGGCGGCGACAGAAAGGGAUUGCUGACCCCUGAACUCGGCAUGAAUAAAUCAAUCACCUGAGAAACUUUGUGCUAUGAGAAAAAAGCCAGACACCGAAGACCACAGACAUGAUUCCAUGCACAUGAAGCAUCUAGAACAGACAGGUUAGAGACGGAAGCGGCUCAGCGGUUGCUCGGAUGGGAAUGCGGGCAGGGAUCGGCGGCACCUGGCCCCGGGACGCUCUCUGGUGGACACAAGUGUUCUACAACAGCUCUGAAAACUUGCUAAAACUCACCCAGCUGUACACUUAGCAGGCUGACUGUCACAGUAUCUACCUGUUGACACCAUGCCAGGCAGCACUGAUUCACUGUGAUGCUCUGAAUACGUCCCCUUAGAGACGUCCAGAAACCGGAAUGCCGUGCUCAUCUUUCUUUGGCAGCCGAUGCCGGUGUCCAACCAUGCCUGCCUUGUGUGUGUGACCUCCAGCCAAGUUGUCUGCCACCUCUGUUUGGUUCCCGUGACCCUUUGUGACUGAUCAAAGAUGGAAGCUGGAGCUCUUGCUGGACACGAAAAUGCACUGUGCUCAGGGCAGGGUCCUCACAAUUUAGGGGAUCAGUCCCCUGGAGGGCUGGCCACUGGGUCCAUCGCAGAUCUGGGCUGAGGCCCCAUAAUUUGCAUUCCUCACAGGUUUCCAGGUGAUGCUGAGGAAGGAAACAGCAGAGGGUAUAAGGGGGCCAUCAGGGAACUGGUGGGUGAUGUCCCUGAGGGCAUCCUAAGCCCCCUGCAGCUGCGGUUGAUCACAGAACAGGCUGACAUCCUGUCACAGCUGGGAUGGGAAAGCAGAUGGGGCCUGGGAGGCAGUAACCUAAGUCUGUGGUGCAGAUUCAGAUCCCACCUCUUAGUGCAGGCCUGCCGUCCCCGACCAAACAGCCAGGCUCUCCUGCAGACGCCCUCCUGAUGGGGUUUGGGGCGCCUGCCAC
Zalophus californianus (California sea lion) is the source of this 1073-nucleotide long non-coding RNA. RefSeq lists it as uncharacterized. The transcript has 3 exons. NCBI's taxonomy places the organism in Eukaryota, Metazoa, Chordata, Mammalia, Carnivora, Otariidae. The record is from RefSeq and is a predicted model, not a curated record.